GAUGAAGAACGCAGCGAAAUGCGAUAAGUAAUGUGAAUUGCAGAAUUUAGUGAAUCAUCGAAUGUUUGAACGCACAUUGCGCCCCCUGGCAUCCCGGGGGGCAUGCCUGUUCGAGCGUCAUUUAAACCUUCAAGCUAAGCUUGGUGUUGGGUGACUGUCCGCCUCACGGCGGACUCGCCUCAAAAUUAUUGGCGGCCGGUACAUUGGCUUCGAGCGCAGCAGAAACGCGAACUCGGGCCCGUCGUAUUGGCUCCCAGAAGCUAUCUUCACAAUUUUGACCUCGGAUCAGGUAGGGAUACCCGCUGAACUUAAGCAUAUCAAUAAGCGGAGGA
RNAcentral lists this unclassified non-coding RNA (332 nucleotides) under soil metagenome. RNAcentral's name for it is "partial contains 5.8S ribosomal RNA, internal transcribed spacer 2, and large subunit ribosomal RNA". The stretch from base 1 to 120 matches the Rfam family "5.8S ribosomal RNA", at positions 35 to 154 of the family's 154-position model. The record is from RNAcentral.